This 1346-nucleotide ribosomal RNA is filed under the name uncultured bacterium. RNAcentral describes it as "bacterial SSU rRNA". It matches the Rfam family "Bacterial small subunit ribosomal RNA", at positions 28 to 1381 of the family's 1533-position model. The record is from RNAcentral.
GACGAACGCUGGCGGCGUGCUUAACACAUGCAAGUCGAACGGAAAGGCCCUGCUUUUGUGGGGUGCUCGAGUGGCGAACGGGUGAGUAACACGUGAGUAACCUGCCCUUGACUUUGGGAUAACUUCAGGAAACUGGGGCUAAUACCGGAUAGGAGCUCCUGCUGCAUGGUGGGGGUUGGAAAGUUUCGGCGGUUGGGGAUGGACUCGCGGCUUAUCAGCUUGUUGGUGGGGUAGUGGCUUACCAAGGCUUUGACGGGUAGCCGGCCUGAGAGGGUGACCGGCCACAUUGGGACUGAGAUACGGCCCAGACUCCUACGGGAGGCAGCAGUGGGGAAUAUUGCACAAUGGGCGGAAGCCUGAUGCAGCAACGCCGCGUGCGAGAUGACGGCCUUCGGGUUGUAAACCGCUUUCGCCUGUGACGAAGCGUGAGUGACGGUAAUGGGUAAAGAAGCACCGGCUAACUACGUGCCAGCAGCCGCGGUGAUACGUAGGGUGCGAGCGUUGUCCGGAUUUAUUGGGCGUAAAGGGCUCGUAGGUGGUUGAUCGCGUCGGAAGUGUAAUCUUGGGGCUUAACCCUGAGCGUGCUUUCGAUACGGGUUGACUUGAGGAAGGUAGGGGAGAAUGGAAUUCCUGGUGGAGCGGUGGAAUGCGCAGAUAUCAGGAGGAACACCAGUGGCGAAGGCGGUUCUCUGGGCCUUCCCUGACGCUGAGGAGCGAAAGCGUGGGGAGCGAACAGGCUUAGAUACCCUGGUAGUCCACGCUGUAAACGGUGGGUACUAGGUGUGGGGUCCAUUCCACGGGUUCCGUGCCGUAGCUAACGCUUUAAGUACCCCGCCUGGGGAGUACGGCCGCAAGGCUAAAACUCAAAGGAAUUGACAGGGCCCCGCACAAGCGGCGGAGCAUGCGGAUUAAUUCGAUGCAACGCGUAGAACCUUACCUGGGUUUGACAUGGAUCGGGAGCGCUCAGAGAUGGGUGUGCCUCUUUUGGGGUCGGUUCACAGGUGGUGCAUGGCUGUCGUCAGCUCGUGUCGUGAGAUGUUGGGUUAAGUCCCGCAACGAGCGCAACCCUUGUUCACUGUUGCCAGCACGUUAUGGUGGGGACUCAGUGGAGACCGCCGGGGUCAACUCGGAGGAAGGUGGGGAUGACGUCAAGUCAUCAUGCCCCUUAUGUCCAGGGCUUCACGCAUGCUACAAUGGCUGGUACAGAGAGUGGCGAGCCUGUGAGGGUGAGCGAAUCUCGGAAAGCCGGUCUCAGUUCGGAUUGGGGUCUGCAACUCGACCUCAUGAAGUCGGAGUCGCUAGUAAUCGCAGAUCAGCAACGCUGCGGUGAAUACGUUCCCGGGGCU